Molecule: ribosomal RNA, 460 nt
Filed under: uncultured bacterium
Lineage: Bacteria
Description: partial 16S ribosomal RNA
Rfam family: Bacterial small subunit ribosomal RNA
Source: RNAcentral
CCUACGGGAGGCAGCAGUGAGGAAUAUUGGUCAAUGGGCGAGAGUCUGAACCAGCCAAGUAGCGUGAAGGAUGACUGCCCUAUGGGUUGUAAACUUCUUUUAUAUGGGAAUAACAUGUUCCACGUGUGGGAUUUUGUAUGUACCAUAUGAAUAAGGAUCGGCUAACUCCGUGCCAGCAGCCGCGCUAAUACGGAGGAUCCGAGCGUUAUCCGGAUUUAUUGGGUUUAAAGGGAGCGUAGGUGGAUUGUUAAGUCAGUUGUGAAAGUUUGCGGCUCAACCGUAAAAUUGCAGUUGAAACUGGCAGUCUUGAGUACAGUAGAGGUGGGCGGAAUUCGUGGUGUAGCGGUGAAAUGCUUAGAUAUCACGAAGAACUCCGAUUGCGAAGGCAGUUCACUGGACUGCAACUGACACUGAGGCUCGAAAGUGUGGGUAUCAAACAGGAUUAGAUACCCCGGUAGUC